Dicentrarchus labrax (European seabass) is the source of this 1015-nucleotide long non-coding RNA. RefSeq lists it as uncharacterized. NCBI's taxonomy places the organism in Eukaryota, Metazoa, Chordata, Actinopteri, Moronidae. The record is from RefSeq and is a predicted model, not a curated record. The transcript has 5 exons.
AAGACGAGCCGGUGAUAUAAAAGGUGAUUAAAUGUUUUAUUUCUGAUGUUUCUGUAAUCUGUACAGGUGACGUCAGUAGAACGUCAGAACAGGGGAUGUCAGUAGUACAUCAGUAGAACGUCAGUACAGGUGACCGCAGUAGAACGUCAGUAGAACGUCAGUACAGGUGACGUCAGUAGAACGUCAGAACAGGGGAUGUCAGUAGUACAUCAGUAGAACGUCAGUACAGGUGACCGCAGUAGAACGUCAGUAGAACGUCAGUAGAACGUCAGUACAGGUGAUGUCAGUAGAACGUCAGUAGAACGUCAGUACAGGUGAUGUCAGUAGAACGUCAGUAGAACGUCAGAACAGGUGAUGUCAGUAGAACGUCAGUAGAACGUCAGUACAGGUGAUGUCAGUAGAACGUCAGUAGAACGUCAGUAUAGGUGAUGUCAGUAGAACGUCAGUAGAACGUCAGAACAGGUGAUGUCAGUAGAACAUCAGUAGAACGUCAGUACAGGUGACCGCAGUAGAACGUCAGUACAGGUGAUGUCAGUAGAACGUCAGUACAGGUGAUGUCAGUAGAACGUCAGUACAGGUGAUGUCAGUAGAACGUCAGAACAGGUGAUGUCAGUAGAACGUCAGUAGAACGUCAGUACAGGUGAUGUCAGUAGAACGUCAGUACAGGUGACCGCAGUAGAACGUCAGUAGAACGUCAGUAUAGGUGAUGUCAGUAGAACGUCAGUAGAACGCCAGUUCAGGUGACCGCAGUAGAACGUCAGUGCAGGUGAUGUCAGUAGAACGUCAGUAGAACGUCAGUACAGGUGAUGUCAGUAGAACGUCAGUAGAACGCCAGAACAGGUGAUGUCAGUAGAACGUCAGUAGAACGUCAGUACAGGUGACUGCAGUAGAACGUCAGUAGAACGUCAGUACAGGUAACCGCAGUAGAACGUCAGUAGAACGUCAGUACAGGUGAUGUCAGUAGAACGUCAGUAGAACGUCAGUACAGGUGACCGCAGUAGAACGUCAGUAGAAC